UCUUUCAGAGUCCGAGUUGUAAUUUGAAGAAGGUAUCUUUGGGUCUGGCUCUUGUCUAUGUUUCUUGGAACAGAACGUCACAGAGGGUGAGAAUCCCGUGCGAUGAGAUGAUCCAGGCCUAUGUAAAGUUCCUUCGAAGAGUCGAGUUGUUUGGGAAUGCAGCUCUAAGUGGGUGGUAAAUUCCAUCUAAAGCUAAAUAUUGGCGAGAGACCGAUAGCGAACAAGUACAGUGAUGGAAAGAUGAAAAGAACUUUGAAAAGAGAGUGAAAAAGUACGUGAAAUUGUUGAAAGGGAAGGGCUUGAGAUCAGACUUGGUAUUUUGUAUGUUACUUCUUCGGGGGUGGCCUCUACAGUUUAUCGGGCCAGCAUCAGUUUGGGCGGUAGGAGAAUUGCGUUGGAAUGUGGCACGGCUUCGGUUGUGUGUUAUAGCCUUCGUCGAUACUGCCAGCCUAGACUGAGGACUGCGGUUUAUACCUAGGAUGUUGGCAUAAUGAUCUUAAGUCGCCC
Molecule: ribosomal RNA, 507 nt
Filed under: Candida tropicalis
Lineage: Eukaryota; Fungi; Ascomycota; Pichiomycetes; Serinales; Debaryomycetaceae
Description: LSU rRNA
Rfam family: Eukaryotic large subunit ribosomal RNA
Source: RNAcentral